UUGAAUAAUUAUAAAAAUGAAGAAUCAAGACAACAAACUAUAUAAUGUUUCGAAACAGCAGUGAAGGCCGUCAAGGUCAGUCGCUGUCGUUUUAUCAUAAUGGCAAUAACAAUUAAUUAGAUUUAUCACGAUCAUUAUUUUAAUAACAUGAGGAGCAUGUUGGACAAUUAAUAGUUUAACUAGAAAUGUUUAAAAGAAUCUGUCGCCUGUUCAAGAAAUCAAUUUCUAAUCAUAACGGUUGAAGCUUUUAAGGGGCGCAGUCGAUUGAUUAUCACUCUCAGAAAAAAAAAAUGUCCUUAUUAGAUGGCAAUGCUUUUCAUUCGUGUAUCAAACUUCUUAUGGUGACAUGCGCCAAGAACAAGGUGAAAUUGGGCAGUGAACAAAACUGAAUAUUGUUGAAAAACGCAAGGUGCUAGCUUCUAUCAUGUAUAUGGUUCAUUGGUUGGUCCAUUUCUUCUGCUUCAUUAAUGAAUCUACACAUACGUCUAUGGUCCCUCAGGUCCUCACUGGUCCAUCAACAUAAAAGUUUUUUGAGUCAAUGAAUUUUCUGUAGGACCUUUAAUUUGAAAAAGAUAGGCGACCAAUCGGGGCAAUUGCAUCAUUUAUACAUUUUGUGAAAAAGCUCGAGCACUGAAAAGCAGACUAAUUUCUCAUAUGAGUUUCCACUUUCUAAGUAGCAUAUAGCCGACCGCUAGGUCCAUUACCCACGUAAUAUUUCUCUAUAUGUGAAGAACUGCAUUAUAUCUGACGUCAUUAAUCAAUUAAUUGCCACACACAUUGCACGACGUAGAAAAUGUCUUCUUUUGAGAUUUUCAGCGCAAUUGGUGGACUCAUACGCCAUCCACGUGGGAGCAACAUAAAGAAAAAUAAAGAAAUUUUGAGUUUUAAAUGAAAUUUCAUUUAUAUCUUCAAAGUCUUUAGGUUUUAGUUAUACAUUUACUCAACGUUUAGUUAGAUGGGUAAUUUUUAAAAACCUCCCCUGAGGUUUGGGUUUGUUGCAAGUAGAUUGUGAGAAUUGGUUUAUUUGUAACCGUCAGUUAAUUUUAACAUUGACCGUUAGUUGACUGUGCAAAGACAAUAUUAUCCUUAAUAAUAAUUUGUAGACGAAAAUAACUAAAAAAAACUAAAAUUAUUGGCUAUUUUACCCUCUUUAAAUUAUUGAUAUUUUCUUAAAGUUCCUA
RNAcentral lists this long non-coding RNA (1181 nucleotides) under Citrus x clementina. RNAcentral describes it as "Citrus clementina (C. clementina) long non-coding RNA (CCLE_LNC005761)". Lineage: Eukaryota; Viridiplantae; Streptophyta; Magnoliopsida; Sapindales; Rutaceae. The record is from RNAcentral.